UCAAAUGAAACAUACACAAACAUUCAACGGUUUUUUUUCAACAGAGUGUACUAAACGUUUGAUUUAUUUCUCCGAAUAUUUGUCAGGGGGUUGGCGUUUUUUAUUUCGAGCGAAACAAAUAGUUCAACUUGUAUUUUGGAUUUUUAAUAUGUAAAAUACAAUCAAUAUAAUCAAUCUAUAGUUUAUUAUACAGUAAUAACUCUUUUUUUACUUCGUUCUCACAUAUUUACACCCCUACUUUGUCGCGUGUAUUAACCUUCGCAGGCGUUGGCGGGAAACUUUCGUAAGAAUUGUGAAUGUCGUAUUCCUUUAAAAAGCGAGAAGGAGGACAGAAGAUCCGCGGACAAACUUUUGUCAAGUAGAAGAAAGAAACAGAAGAAGAAGUCCGUGUAUGUAUGGCUUUGGUGCUGAAGUAACGUAUCUGACAGAAAUGGAGGAGCGGGAAGAAGAAAUGCGAAAGAUUAAAGAAAAUAAUUUAUGAUUAAGCUUAUAUUAAUUUUUAUUGUGUAACGGUGUGGAUACUUUUUAACCCUAUUCCUGCUGGGCCUUUUAGGGGUCCUCAAUAGCGGGGGGGGGGGGGGGGGGUGGGGCUGAUUCGACACCCUUCGUUAAAUUUUUAAAAUUGUUGUCCGUUGGACCUGAAACUUACCACAAGUGUUGUUCAGGUAUUAAUAAACAAUUUGAUGAAAAAAAGUGAUGACGUCAGCAUUUUCGAUGAUGACGUCAUCAAAUUCGGUGACAUAAUAGAAACGCAAAAUAAUAUAACAAUAUAAACUAAGAAUUGACAUAAAGCUUUCAAAGACAUGUAAAAAAAAACUUUUAGUAAAACAUUUUUUUUUAAAUUUUUACUCAACAUAAAAAAUUGUUGUCAUGGCAACACUUUGGCAUACUUCCGUAAAAAAAUUUUUGGGAAAUUAAAGCUUAAUAAAAGUUAGGAAAAGUCACAAAAUUUGAAGGUGGAACUAUAAAAACAUAAAAAGUUAUUAAAAAAAAGUUUAUGAGGGGGGAGGGCUGAUUCAACCCCCCCCCCCCCCCCCCCCUGCACGAAUAGGGUUAAGGAAGUAAUAGUUCUGAAAUAUACUUAUGCUAUUAUUAUUGUAAUUCUUACAAAUUGAUUUCAUGACAGCUUCUAAUGAGGUUGAUAACUUUUCAUUGGCCUGAAAUACUAUUAAAUAGAGUUUUUAACAUAG
Hydractinia symbiolongicarpus is the source of this 1190-nucleotide long non-coding RNA. RefSeq lists it as uncharacterized. The transcript is spliced from 2 exons. The record is from RefSeq and is a predicted model, not a curated record. Lineage: Eukaryota; Metazoa; Cnidaria; Hydrozoa; Anthoathecata; Hydractiniidae.